AGCAGCCGCGGUAAUUCCAGCUCCAAUAGCGUAUAUUAAAGUUGUUGCAGUUAAAAAGCUCGUAGUUGAAUUUCGGGACUAACAUGUCGGUCGUACUUUGUACGUACUAGCAUUAUUGGUUUCUCCCUUCUGACGAACCACGAUGUCAUUAAUUUGGUGUCGCGGGAAAUCAGGACUGUUACUUUGAAAAAAUUGGAGUGUUUAAAGCAAGCUCGCGCUUGAAUACAUUAGCAUGGAAUAAUGAAAUAGGACGUUUGAUUCUAUUUUGUUGGUUUCUAGGAUCGACGUAAUGAUUAAUAGGGAUAGUUGGGGGCAUUAGUAUUCAAUUGUCAGAGGUGAAAUUCUUGGAUUUAUUGAAGACUAACUACUGCGAAAGCAUUUGCCAAGGAUGUUUACAUUAAGUCAAGAACGAAAGUUAGGGAU
RNAcentral lists this ribosomal RNA (423 nucleotides) under uncultured Glomus. Its description in RNAcentral is "SSU rRNA". It matches the Rfam family "Eukaryotic small subunit ribosomal RNA", at positions 569 to 997 of the family's 1831-position model. Lineage: Eukaryota; Fungi; Glomeromycota; Glomeromycetes; Glomerales; Glomeraceae. The record is from RNAcentral.